This 76-nucleotide transfer RNA is filed under the name Anaerolineae bacterium. RNAcentral's name for it is "tRNA-Glu". It matches the Rfam family "tRNA". From Rfam's summary of the family: Transfer RNA (tRNA) molecules are approximately 80 nucleotides in length. Their secondary structure includes four short double-helical elements and three loops (D, anti-codon, and T loops). Lineage: Bacteria; Bacillati; Chloroflexota; Anaerolineae. RNAcentral also lists the same sequence under 1 other name. The record is from RNAcentral.
GCCCCCAUCGUCUAGAGGCCCAGGACAUCACCCUUUCAAGGUGGAGACAGGGGUUCGAAUCCCCUUGGGGGUACCA